Molecule: ribosomal RNA, 326 nt
Filed under: uncultured eukaryote
Lineage: Eukaryota
Description: partial 18S ribosomal RNA
Rfam family: Eukaryotic small subunit ribosomal RNA
Source: RNAcentral
CCCUUAGAUGUCCUGGGCCGCCCGCGCGCUACACUGAACGGAUCAGCGCGUUUUCCCUUCCCGAGAGGGACGGGUAACCUGCUGAACCCCGUUCGUGGUAGGGAUCGGGGCUUGCAAUUAUUCCCCGUGAACCAGGAAUGCCCAGUAAGUGCAAGUCAUAAGCUUGCGUUGAUUACGUCCCUGCCCUUUGUACACACCGCCCGUCGCUACUACCGAUUGAACGUUUUAGUGAGGUACUCGGACUGAGCCUCAGAAGAUUCACGUCUUUUGUGCUGCUCGGGAAGAUUCCCAAACUUGAGCGUUUAGAGGAAGUAAAAGUCGUAACA